GACGAACGCUGGCGGCGUGCUUAACACAUGCAAGUCGAACGGAAAGGCCCUGCUUUCCGGGUACUCGAGUGGCGAACGGGUGAGUAACACGUGGGUGAUCUGCCCUGCACUUCGGGAUAAGCCUGGGAAACUGGGUCUAAUACCGGCUAGGUGCCACUUUUAGUGUGAUGGUUGGAAAGUUUUUUCGGUGUAGGAUGAGCUUGGGGGCUCUCCGCUUGUUGGUGGGGUAAUGGCCUACCAAGGCGGCGACGGGUAGCCGGCCUGGGAGGGUGGACGGCCACAAUGGGACCGAGGGAAGGCCCAAGCUCCUACGGGGGGGAACAGGGGGGAAUAUUGAACAAGGGGGGCCAGGCUGAUGCAGCGACGCCGCGGGGGGGAUGACGGGCUUCGGGUUGUAAACUCCUUUCGCGAGGGACGAAGCUUUUUGUGACGGUACCUAGAGAAGAAGCACCGGCUAACUACGUG
RNAcentral lists this ribosomal RNA (465 nucleotides) under uncultured bacterium. RNAcentral describes it as "partial 16S ribosomal RNA". It matches the Rfam family "Bacterial small subunit ribosomal RNA", at positions 28 to 507 of the family's 1533-position model. The record is from RNAcentral.